RNAcentral lists this ribosomal RNA (253 nucleotides) under uncultured bacterium. RNAcentral describes it as "partial 16S ribosomal RNA". It matches the Rfam family "Bacterial small subunit ribosomal RNA", at positions 524 to 776 of the family's 1533-position model. The record is from RNAcentral.
GACGAACCGUGCGAACGUUGUUCGGAAUCACUGGGCUUAAAGGGCGCGUAGGCGGGCAAGCAAGUCUGGGGUGAAAUCUUUCGGCUUAACCGGAAAAGUGCCUUGGAUACUGCAUGUCUCGAGGGAGGUAGGGGCAGAUGGAACUUCCGGUGGAGCGGUGAAAUGCGUUGAUAUCGGAAGGAACGCCGGUGGCGAAAGCGAUCUGCUGGAUCUCAUCUGACGCUGAGGCGCGAAAGCUAGGGGAGCAAACGGG